GGGGCCUUUUAGAAAAUCUCACACCACUUCCUAGUUGGAGCAAUUAAACAAUAGAGAAGAUGGGUAUUCUGGAGCAGAAUUUAAUGAAACAGAACUCCACCAUCUAUGGCAAGUUUGACUGCUUGAGUCUCCAGAGGAUAAUAGUUGGAGGCCACUGAGGCCCAAAUUCAUCAGUCCGGCCAUUGAAGGACACAAGUGAACAAAGGAGGACGGCAAAGACAGAACUGUGAUAUUCAAACACUCAAUAGCUCACAGUGUCGGGGUUCAUUAUGACACUUACUAAGCACAUGCCAUAUUUCUGACACUGUGCUAAGAGUUUCAUGAACAUUAACUAAAUUAACCCCAUAAAAACGCCAUUAGAAAGAUGCAGUUUUGUACCCCCUUACACAGAUGAAGAAAAUAAAGUAUAGAGACUUUAAGAAAUUUGCCAGAAGUCUUAUAACUGGGGUUAAGUAAAGGGCACUGAACAAGUGAAGCUGUGCUGAAAACAACAGUGGCCAAGGCAGAGAUAUUCUUAUACCUCAACCCGUUGUGCAGAUGGAAGUCUGGCCAAAAAACCAUAAAGCAUCAAGUCUGACUGUUGGUUUGCCAUGGCUCUUUGAAACAGUUACUCUUGUCCUCAUUGUAGAGAUGGCGAUACUAAGGCAGAAUAUGGUAAGGUUCUCUUGCUCAUCGGACCAAAGUUUGGAAUCACGUCUCAUCUUCGUGUAUUUUGAAAAUCUAACAAAUCUAGAAGAUGGUGUGAAUGUGCAUAUAUUUAGACAAUUUAAAAUUUUGUCAAGGACAUGAAAGAAAGACAUGUUUUCUAACAAAACAGAAAAAAACAAAAAUAAGAACAGAAUGCUUUUAACAUUGCUUAAAGAACUACAGAACUAUGGUGGCAAAGUGAGUAUGUCAUACAAGGUAGGCUAUGUAAAUCUAUGUGUGAUAAUUGUGUACUAUUCAUUGAUAGGGGAUGUACUUUCUACUUAACACAUGUUCUCCUCCUAGAUACCUUACCUAUAGGUACAGAAGUAUCUAUUAUAUUGGUUUAGGCUGAUUCUAAGGGAUAUUUCUCUUAAUGUAAGCUGAAGCAGAGAGAAACUCUAUUGGCAGAUGCAAGUGACUUUUUUAACACAAUGAGUUACUGAAGGAUGGAUUCUUAAGCUAUGGAAUAUUGCUGAAAUCAAAGCUGCUAUAAUGCAGUUAUACUUUCAUAAGUCUGAAUAGAAAAAAAAGUCACAUCAUGGAAAAGAGAACUCAAUCAAAUAUCGGACUUCCACACUAUUUAUGUGUACUAUGUGUACUAUGUGUUCUUAAUAAAUAUUCUCAUAAAUACCUGCAAAAUCUAGCCUGGACUUCUUUUUGUGGAGACUGGAUUCCAAGAUUGAAAGUAGAAGCUACAUGUUUUCUCCAAGCAGGGCUUUCAGACUUCACUUCUGCAACAUUUUAUUGAUGAAAGCAAGUCACAAGACCAGACUGAUUCAAGGGGUGGAGAAAUAGACCCUACUUCUUGAUGGAGGGAGGAGUAGAGUUACAUUGCAAAGGGAUCUGGACAAAAAAAGGAGUGAUUUAUUAGGAAUCAUGUUUAACAAUUUACCACAAUCCCCAGCGCAACUGCCUGUUAGCUGGAUCCAGAAAUGUCUACGACUACUGCAAUGCCACUUGGCCUUAGGGGUGAUGUGACCCAGUGUAAAGAGAUGGUGGUCUUAACCAAUCACAGUUAAGAUAGUUUAGUUUUGGAAGGUAUAAAAAAUAUGUAACAACAUGAAUGCACUUUUAGGGUCAGACAAGAGACUUGGAAAGAGCCUGCAAAAUGGAGGAGCCCUGAGGCCUAAGUCUCAUGAGUGUCAAUGCUUACCUGUAUCUAGACACUGGCAUCCCCCUUUUGAUAAGGCCAAGAUUGAUUGUUUUCCUUUUCUACCUACCCUAUAUCUAAUCCAUGUACAAACACUGUUGACACACAAAAGAACCCUAAAUUCAACAAUCUGUGAAGAAUUUUUGCACUAACAUGUUAGUUCAAAAACUCAACAUUGCUUGCUAAGACUAUUGCAAUAAACUCCUCUAUGAUCCCCUAAU
Molecule: long non-coding RNA, 2058 nt
Filed under: Homo sapiens (human)
Lineage: Eukaryota; Metazoa; Chordata; Mammalia; Primates; Hominidae
Description: HSALNT0114241
Source: RNAcentral